CUGUAGUGAGAGAUUUGGAGGUUCUCAACAUCAAGCUUUUGGAAAUUACUACGCUUUCUGUUGGCCAUAAAAUCCGCCCAAUUGUAAGGCCUAAAUUUGGCAGGGUUUUGCUCAUUUACUAUCUCCUCUAAGGGCUUCACGAUGGUAUAGUGUGCUGGAUUGAAGAAGUAUGGAAUGGAAAAUCUUUCCUUCUCAGGGUUCACCUUCACUCUAUGUUCCACACUUUCAUAAGCAUCGUUGCUCCAUACCUGACUAAUGUCGCCAACAUUGAUUGUGUAAGAAUUUGGGGUUGGCUUGACCCAAGUCCA
This 308-nucleotide unclassified non-coding RNA is filed under the name Hevea brasiliensis (rubber tree). Lineage: Eukaryota; Viridiplantae; Streptophyta; Magnoliopsida; Malpighiales; Euphorbiaceae. The record is from RNAcentral.